Molecule: long non-coding RNA, 683 nt
Organism: Suricata suricatta (meerkat)
Lineage: Eukaryota; Metazoa; Chordata; Mammalia; Carnivora; Herpestidae
Exons: 3
Source: RefSeq, a predicted model, not a curated record
UGAAAUGGAAUCUCACAACAGCUCUGGGUAUCUCUGUUGCAGUGUGUUAUUGUUGUCACAGUGGAUUCAAGUCACUUUCGAAAAGAAGCCAUCUCGGAAUUACUUAGUGUAGCUGAUUAACAUAAAAAACAACCUCAACAGGGAUGGCUUCCCACUCCCUCAUCAUGGGGAAUACCCGUAGCUGACCAGCUCUGCCACUGGCCAGAGAACCACCCAGAAGUUGACUGCUUUAGCAGCAGACUCAAAGUAAGCAGACAAGAUGCCCCCAGGAAGCAGUGGUGAAUAGAAACAUCUCACCAAGAAAACAGCCUCCACUCAACAGUAUUCCUGCCUUAUUCUCCAUCUCUUACUGACCUGCAACCAGAUGUCUUCCAAGAAAACACGAGCCUUUCUCUCUUCGGUGCAUACUAUCUAAGUAGUAUGUCUCAUACUAUCUAAAGUUUCAGCUUCUACCAGGAGUGGAAUCCCAAACCAGUCAAUCUGGAAUUACCUUAUCAGUUCUAGUGAAGUAAUCUGCUUGAUAGACCCUUGCCAUCCAUUCAAGGAAGGUGACCUUGCCACAAAUAAUCAGCUCCUUGCUUGUAUAACUUCUUUGUCCUGCCUCCUUCUGCCUAUAGAAGUCUUACAUCUUGGAUGGGUCUUUAAAGUUCCUUUCUAUCUGCUAGAUGGGAUGCUGCACAUUU